This is a long non-coding RNA of Cydia amplana, 243 nucleotides long. RefSeq lists it as uncharacterized. NCBI's taxonomy places the organism in Eukaryota, Metazoa, Arthropoda, Insecta, Lepidoptera, Tortricidae. The record is from RefSeq and is a predicted model, not a curated record. The transcript has 3 exons.
AGACAUCUAUAUUCGGCCCGGGGGCAUCAUCUGACGAACAGUACACCAAUAUGAACAAAAGAGGGAAAAAACAAAAGGUUGACCCAGUAUCCGAGGAACGUUUCUUUAGGAAUCCAGAGAAAAAAGCUGCAAGAUCCUGGGCCCGGAUUCCUCAGGAGCAUUGGAACGCGAGUCCGAACACACGCGCGCAGGCGCAACUAGACAUGCAUGACUACGAGAAGGAACAGGAAAACCUGGUGAAGG